UAGAGUAAGAAAUCCAGAGCGAACAAGAGGAAAACAACCGGUUUUUCUGACAUCGUCAGAACCGUUACCUGGAACCCAUAGAUCCUUCUUCCACGAGACUGUUGAUGAAUCUGAUGAGGUUAUUGAGAUCCCAGCUCCAGACCCGGUCCCCGCGAAGCCCUGCUACUACCCAACUCUAAAACUUCCUCGCCGAUCUUCUAAACUACAAAAGCAAUCUAAGAAAAAAAAGAAGAAUAGUGUUACUACUCUACCUGUAAUAGGGGCUCGGAACUACUCGAUUAUACCUCAGGAUGAAGAAGCAGAUGGGCCAGGUGUUAGAAAAGACAGUGAUGAUAUAUUUCAGCCAAUUAGACACCUUUCAG
Eurytemora carolleeae is the source of this 362-nucleotide long non-coding RNA. RefSeq lists it as uncharacterized. The transcript has 5 exons. Lineage: Eukaryota; Metazoa; Arthropoda; Copepoda; Calanoida; Temoridae. The record is from RefSeq and is a predicted model, not a curated record.